This 662-nucleotide ribosomal RNA is filed under the name uncultured Bacilli bacterium. RNAcentral's name for it is "bacterial SSU rRNA". It matches the Rfam family "Bacterial small subunit ribosomal RNA", at positions 127 to 776 of the family's 1533-position model. The record is from RNAcentral. Lineage: Bacteria; Bacillati; Bacillota; Bacilli.
UGCCCAUCAGAAGGGGAUAACACUUGGAAACAGGUGCUAAUACCGUAUAACAAUCAAAACCGCAUGGUUUUGAUUUGAAAGGCGCUUUCGGGUGUCGCUGAUGGAUGGACCCGCGGUGCAUUAGCUAGUUGGUGAGGUAACGGCUCACCAAGGCCACGAUGCAUAGCCGACCUGAGAGGGUGAUCGGCCACAUUGGGACUGAGACACGGCCCAAACUCCUACGGGAGGCAGCAGUAGGGAAUCUUCGGCAAUGGACGAAAGUCUGACCGAGCAACGCCGCGUGAGUGAAGAAGGUUUUCGGAUCGUAAAACUCUGUUGUUAGAGAAGAACAAGGAUGAGAGUAACUGUUCAUCCCUUGACGGUAUUUAACCAGAAAGCCACGGCUAACUACGUGCCAGCAGCCGCGGUAAUACGUAGGUGGCAAGCGUUGUCCGGAUUUAUUGGGCGUAAAGCGAGCGCAGGCGGUUUCUUAAGUCUGAUGUGAAAGCCCCCGGCUCAACCGGGGAGGGUCAUUGGAAACUGGGAGACUUGAGUGCAGAAGAGGAGAGUGGAAUUCCAUGUGUAGCGGUGAAAUGCGUAGAUAUAUGGAGGAACACCAGUGGCGAAGGCGGCUCUCUGGUCUGUAACUGACGCUGAGGCUCGAAGCGUGGGGAGCAAACAGG